GUUGUCUUUUAGCGACAUCAGUUUUAGCGACUACGUUGAAAAAUCGUUGCUAAUUCCAUUUUUAUAUACGUGCCAAUUAUGCCCGCCUGGAAUCAAUUUUUUUUUUGCCAUUUUUUAAAUACAAACCCGUAAAAUAAAACCCUCACCACUUCUUGCUCUCUCAAUUUUCUCCUUCAGAGCCGCGCCUCUCUCUCUCCCUCUUAGGUUUUUCCCCCUCGCCUCAUUUCUCUCUCUAACUCCCUCAAUGCAAGCUUCCACUCAACCUCUCCCUUAGAUCUCACUCUCUCCUCCAGUUUCUUUCUCACUCAAAGAUAUCUCUCUCAGAUCGGUCCUUAGUGACCGAUUCUAAGUUCAAUCUCUAUCUCUGUGGCUCUUCUCUUUUUCUCACAGAUAUUUUAGCACUUGCUGCAAGAGGAUUCCUUUUGUUUGGGAAAAAGAGAAUUUAUUGAUUAUCUUUACUGGGUGCAUGCGUUAGAUCGAAGAGGAAGGAGAGCAGCUUAAUUGGGGCACUUGAAGGUCUCUUAGAAGAGCUAGAAGGGGACAACUUUCACAACAUAAAACAAGCAACGUUCUAAGGGGUAUGAGGAAAAAAAAACAGGGAAAUGAAAGAGAGGAGAUUGUAAGCCUUCUUUAAUGUAAGUUUGUAGUUCACACUUAGACUUAGAAUAGCCACAUUAUGAAAUCUCUUCACUAGUUUAAGUUGAACUGUUUAAUUUACUUAAGCUGCUUGCCACUUUUUCAUCUUAUUGUAUUGUAGUUUUGUUCAGUUUCUUCUAUAUUUCAAAUGAUAACAAAGGAAAGCCAUAUAUGUUGCAGGUUAUAUAGCUACACACACUUGCAUGGGCUGUGGUAUAUUUACAGAUUAAUUACAGAUUUCUUAGUUUGAAUGUUGUUACAGAGACCUAUGUGUUUGUGAUUUUGAGAUUUUGAGUGUCUUUUCAUUAAGAAUCUUGUGUAUGUGUUGUGUAUAAUACAAUUUGAGUACAUGGUUUCUUGCAGAAUCGCAUCUGUGAUGGUUUGGCUUUACUUGACGUGGUCAAUUUUUUUUUGCUGUAAUUGUUUUCCUUAUAGUGUUAAAGUUUAUACAAGGUUAGGCUUGUUAUGAUAUUUCUUGAAACAGUCUUGCACAAGCUUUGUUGCACACUAUUUAAUCAUUUUUGCUUUGAUCAAAUGGUUUUAUAUAUUUCAAUUCUUUUCUUAAUUAUAUGUAUAUAAUAAGAUCAAAAUGAUUCAAUUCAAGUCCAGCAGGUUGAGAAGCACUUUAAUGGACUCAAAGAAAGGUGCAGGCGUGAGAAGAAACUACCAAGUUGGCUGGGAGAUUACAUCCAUUAGACUUGGAGCCAUAAAUAAGAGAAUAUAUAAUUUUAUUUACUUUACUAAUUUACUAUAUGUAAUUGAAUAUUGAUAGAUGUUUUGUGUGUGAUUGUCUAUUAACUACUGUGAAGUAUGUGGAGCCAAGUUUCAUGGUCAAAGUUUCGAUAGAUUUCGAGAUAUUAGGCCUCACAAGAAGAUAUAGUUCACGUAGGCUUAAUGGAAGAGAUUGGAGCAUCAUGUGUAUCGUUAUAUAUCAAGUAUCAAAUAUUUUUAAAAUAAUUAUAAUUUUGUUGAUGACGCAUUUUAUAAAUUUAACAAAGAUAUAUUUUUUUUAUGUUGAAUUUUAUACUUCCAAUUAGUGAAAAGAGAGAUCAGUCACUUUUUUUGUUUUGUUGAGCCAAUUUGGCUAUCAAAUGUUGGAUCCACUAAAGAAGAAUGAGUUGAAUGGGUAUCAAAGCGUAUGAUUGAUUCAAAUCUGGGUCAGAUGUGGUUGUUGUCAUAUCAUAAGGGAAAGCAUUGGAUCCUUAUAAUAAUUGAUUUUGAUCACCAAUUGUGUUAUUUCCUGGAUUCUCUUCAUAAUUUUCCACCAAAUGAAAUCAAAUCUCUCAUUUCUCGUGUCUUUCAACAUUUACGCACAAAUAAUGCGAAAACUAAGGAAGUCACGUGGAGAACUGUUAAGUGUCCUCGUCAACCAUUACAAUCAGUACAAUGUGGAUUCUAUGUUAUGAGGAUGAUGAAAGACUUCGUGACAAAUGAGUUUUCAAUGCGAUGGCUAACUAGUAACUGUGGCGGGAAGAACUCUUACACAAAGGAUGAGAUAAAUGAAGUACGUGAAGAAUGGGCACAAUGCGUUAUGGAUUUGAUGAGUACUACAUAGGUCUACUCACUUUUGUUAACUUAGACUUUUAAUGAGAUAUACUUACAAUGUUAACCUAGACUUUCUUGAAGAUAUACACACUUUUGUUGUCUAACUAAAUUUUAC
Molecule: RNA transcript, 2296 nt
Organism: Humulus lupulus (European hop)
Lineage: Eukaryota; Viridiplantae; Streptophyta; Magnoliopsida; Rosales; Cannabaceae
Exons: 9
Source: RefSeq, a predicted model, not a curated record